GGUAACACGUGGGCAACCUGCCCCCCGCACCGGGAUAGCCUCGGGAAACCGUGGGUAAUACCGGAUACUCCGCCACCCCCGCAGUGGGGGAGGCGGGAAAGCGUACACGGCGGGGAUGGGCCCGCGGCCUGUUAGCUCGUUGGCGGGGUAACGGCCCACCAAGGCGAUUAUGGGUAGCCGGGUUGAGAGACCGACCGGCCAGAUUGGGACUGAGACACGGCCCAGACUCCUACGGGAGGCAGCAGUGGGGAAUCUUGCACAAUGGGCGAAAGCCUGAUGCAGCGACGCCGCGUGCGGGAUGAAGGCCCUCGGGUUGUAAACCGCUUCCAGCAGGGACGAGGCGCAAGUGACGGUACCUGCAGAAGAAGCCCCGGCUAACUACGUGCCAGCCGCCGC
This 396-nucleotide ribosomal RNA is filed under the name uncultured bacterium. Its description in RNAcentral is "bacterial SSU rRNA". It matches the Rfam family "Bacterial small subunit ribosomal RNA", at positions 109 to 518 of the family's 1533-position model. The record is from RNAcentral.